CAACAAGGGGCUCACAGGACACAACGAUGUGCUUAGUAAACCGGGGGACACUCACAACCACCAGGGGGUACUCAGGACACCAGGGGGUGCCCAGGAAACCAGGGAGCACUGAGGACACCACCGCUCCCUUAGGAGGCAGAUCCACAUCAGAAUCAGGAAAAGUUUGUCUUUUAAGCUCUUCACAGUUGUUAACAAUUGAGUAUGGUAUACUUUACUGAUAAAAAAAUAAAAACAUAAUAUCUUCUUAUUUACAUAAUUUCUCCAAAAUUUGGAAACUGUGUUCCCUCCCACACCUCCAAUAGUCUCCACUAUUAUCAUCAUCUUCUAGAUCUUCUGCGAUGCCCUGGAGAUUAAGGAUUUGAUUCCAUGACAGAGAGGAGGUGCAUUUCGAUGGAACUUUGGUGAAAACCUUGGUCUUUAUCCCAUUUCCUCUGGGGCUCCACCAGUGCCUCUGGAAUCAUGGUUUCAGUGGCUUGCCCCUGCAUGGUGUGCACCCUCAAGAGUGUACGAGUGGUUGAGGUAUGGCUGCUGGAAUUGGCCAAGACUCCGCUGUUGUUACAGGCGCAUGCUCCAAAGUUGGCUUUUCAAUCUCGUCCACCUAUUCAGAGAAUAAAAACUAGUCUAAAGAAAUAUGAAAACAUCAGUACUUUUAUAAAGAAAUGGUAGAAGAAAAGGAGAAAAACAAAAAUAUAUCUAUAAAAGAGCAAGAGGAAUUCUGAGGUGUCCAGUGUGAGGUGCAGCUGGUGGAGUCUGGGGGAGGCUUGGUACAGCCUGGGGGGUCCCUGAGACUCUCCUGUGCAGCCUCUGGAUUCACCUUCAGUAGCUACGACAUGCACUGGGUCCGCCAAGCUACAGGAAAAGGUCUGGAGUGGGUCUCAGCUAUUGGUACUGCUGGUGACCCAUACUAUCCAGGCUCCGUGAAGGGCCGAUUCACCAUCUCCAGAGAAAAUGCCAAGAACUCCUUGUAUCUUCAAAUGAACAGCCUGAGAGCCGGGGACACGGCUGUGUAUUACUGUGCAAGAGACACAGUGAGGGGAAGUCAGUAUGAGCCCAGACACAAACCUCCCUGCAGAAUGCCUGGGGGAAAUCAGCUGCAGGGGGCGCACAGGACCCACUGAUCAGAGUCAUCCCCAGAGGCAGUGUUCCUGCUCCCUGUAAAGUGGGGAUGUGGCUCUUGCUGCCAAAGCUCCAGGUCUCAAGCCCAUUCCCUGCAGCUCAGGUGGGGCUCAGGCUGUGGCUCCUGCAGCCACGUGGAAGAGGCUGAUGGGACUUUCCUCUCUCCCAUUGCUCAGCACCCUCCAGUGUGUCACGUGGAGACUCACCUGCGAAUGGAAGUGGCCAACAGUAGUGAAGGGGAUGAGCUUGUGUGGACAAAAUGGGAUGUGGAUGUGAAAUUUAUCCUGUGCUGUGCAAAGUAGCACAGAGUGAGUCACCUUCCUCACCAGUAGUGUUAGAAAGAGGGUGUGAAAGUUGUCAGAAUCAAAAUAGAUCCACUUGUGUUAAAACCCUGACAAAUGGAACUAGGAAUGACCAUGAAGGAGGUUUCCCAUGCACAUACUCCUGAUAACAAGAUCGACCAUAAAUGGAUUCUGCUUAACCACAACCUUUGAUAGAAGCCACCAUGACCUUAUAAAAAUCACUUCUACAAGGACAUCUUCCCAGCAAAUCACGGUUUAACCCUAUACUGAUGCCAACCUUGGUAUUGACUCUACAAGCAAGGAAAAUCCUCUCAAAACAAUUUAUGCAACCCACCUCAUUUUCACUCAUAAACCUAUGGAUUGACAUCCUGGAGCCACUGCUGCAUUUGUUGUUAAUGAAGUCCUGUGUGAAGUUUACUGAUGGAGUCAGAGGGAGAAAGAUUGUACAGCCCAGCGGUUCACUCAGCCACUCCUGCAAAGACUCUGGAUCACCUUCACUGAUUGCAGCAUAAGCUUGGUCCAGCAGGCUCCAGGACCAGAGUUGGCGUGGGCAGCAACAGGGAGAAAUUCAAGAGGAAGUUCUUACAUGCACCCUUACGUGCACGGUCUCACUGAGAUCUUUACUUCCUUUAUCACGUUUGUUCUGUAAAUCAC
RNAcentral lists this long non-coding RNA (2072 nucleotides) under Homo sapiens (human). Its description in RNAcentral is "HSALNT0216933". Lineage: Eukaryota; Metazoa; Chordata; Mammalia; Primates; Hominidae. The record is from RNAcentral.